This 472-nucleotide ribosomal RNA is filed under the name uncultured bacterium. RNAcentral describes it as "bacterial SSU rRNA". It matches the Rfam family "Bacterial small subunit ribosomal RNA", at positions 355 to 825 of the family's 1533-position model. The record is from RNAcentral.
UGGGGAAUAUUGGACAAUGGGGGCAACCCUGAUCCAGCAAUACCGCGUGUGUGAAGAAGGCCUGCGGGUUGUAAAGCACUUUCAGUAGGGAGGAGAGGCUCGGUGCUAAUACCAUCGAGCGGAGACGUUACCUACAGAAGAAGCACCGGCUAACUCUGUGCCAGCAGCCGCGGUAAUACAGAGGGUGCAAGCGUUAAUCGGAAUUACUGGGCGUAAAGCGUGCGCAGGCGGUUUGGUAAGACAGAUGUGAAAUCCCCGGGCUUAACCUGGGAACUGCAUUUGUGACUGCCAGACUAGAGUGUAGCAGAGGGGGGUAGAAUUCCACGUGUAGCAGUGAAAUGCGUAGAUAUGUGGAGGAAUACCGAUGGCGAAGGCAGCCCCCUGGGCUAACACUGACGCUCAUGCACGAAAGCGUGGGGAGCAAACAGGAUUAGAUACCCACGUAGUCCCUGAGCGGGCUGGCAAGGCGCAU